UCUAAGCUUGGGGAUGUCUCGGAAGGCACCCCCUUUUUGUCUCAAUCUGUCGCUAUGUCACUUGGAGCUACAUUUUUAUUCAUAACAUCAUAUGAUUUUUGCUUAGAGCGUCGUUUGCUAUUGCUUAUUUUUACUUUAAGUUUGCCACAAUCAUGAUUUUGUGGACACACUUAUUUCACAGAUAUACCACAUCAUCAUAAUUUGUUAGAAUACUAUAUGUGCUUCACUUAUAUCUUUUGAGCUUAGCAGUUGCUCUAGUACUUCAUUUAUAUCUUUUUGAGCAUGGUGGCGUGUAGAUUUUAUAGAAAUAAUAUGAUCUUGUUCUUCACUUAUAUUUGUUU
This 341-nucleotide long non-coding RNA is filed under the name Hordeum vulgare. RNAcentral describes it as "long non-coding RNA (HVUL_LNC001326)". Lineage: Eukaryota; Viridiplantae; Streptophyta; Magnoliopsida; Poales; Poaceae. The record is from RNAcentral.